Molecule: long non-coding RNA, 1871 nt
Filed under: Panax ginseng (ginseng)
Lineage: Eukaryota; Viridiplantae; Streptophyta; Magnoliopsida; Apiales; Araliaceae
Description: long non-coding RNA (PGIN_LNC018594)
Source: RNAcentral
UGAAAUAAAACCACAGACCGAAGUCCGGGCAUACACACGUAACACGACUCUCAACGUGAAGAAUGGUGUGUGCAAAGAUGAAGAGAAAGGCUUUAAAGUGUGUAAGAAGACUUAUAGUGGGCUGCCAAAGAAGACUUCUAUAACUUUAAGUGGAUGAACACUCGGCUCCCGCCGGUACAAAUAGUAGCUAUAUGUGAGCUCACAAGUAUUUAAAAUGAGAAAACAUUCAGUUUAGGGUGUGUACAGAGCGAAUUUGACAAGGCUUCCUCGCCUUUUCCUCUUAUAAAAUGGUCACUCCGAGCCUCUAUUUAUAGAGGGGGGAGCCGCAUGUGUACCUGCGGCUUCUCGGGAUGCCCCAGGCUCCGCGGGUCUCGUCAUCUUGAAGUACGUGCACUCGUGCAUUGUGAUGUCCGCUCGAACUUUCACAAUUGCAAUCCGGGCAUCCGAAUGAGGUAUGUAAGACCUAUUUCGGACACCCGUUGUCGAGAGUUACGCAAUGACAUGUGAUUAGAAGUUGUACAAAGUCAGGAAGAUGGGACCAUGCCCUUCGGUCUUCAAGCUUCAAAUUCUAUCUGUUGCCCUGCAUAAUAGUCACUCGGGAUUAGACCUCCUUGGUUCUUGUGGGACAUUGUUGUGUAGAAAUGUAUGUAUGAAAUGUUAAGACUACGCGAUGUGGGGUCAAGGUGGCAAGAUGACGACUUUGCCCCUCGCCGGGGUUAUCUCCGGUUUGGGCUGAUAAAGUAGACGUUGCUCAGGGUAAUCUCUGAGAUUGGACUACUGCAAGUGUUGAAGGUCCUCAGUGUCAUCUCUGAGGUGUGUCUGUCUUCCCGAUGUUAUCUCCGGGUCUUGUACUCAGUGCCUCGGUGUGAGUGCUGAGGUUGAAGCUGAUUGCAUUCAUUUGAAAUAAGCAUUUCUGGGGUUAUCUCCAGAACUGCAACUGCACUCCUUAGGGUUAUCUCCAAGGUUGGAAUUUCUACUACCAGUGUUAUUUUUGGGACUGAGACUGAAUAUCUCGGGGUUAUCUCUGAGAUGAAUCGACCUUCUCCAGUGGAAUUUUCAGUAUUUGAACUGCAUGCCUCGGGGUUAUCUCCGAGAUUGGAACUGAUAUUCCCGGUGUGUGUUCUGGGGUUGAGACUGAACUUUCGGUAGUAUCCAGACUAGAUAUGAGCUAUCUUCCAGGGUUAUCUCUGAAAGACGAAUCUUCCCACCUGCAAUGUCAGUGACAUGUGUGCAAAAAAUUUUGAGUGUCUACAGAUGCCCCUCUUUAUCAUAUUCACACAAUGCAAUGACAUGGAUAUGAUAAAGAAUACUAGACACUUAAAAUGUAACACGAUAAACAUGAUGCCAUAUGCAGCAACAUGAUGCAAAUGUAUGAUGCAUGUGGAUUGUUGGAUUGCUCUCCAAUAUGGUGGGAUGAUUGCUGACUCCCUGUUGCUUCUGCCUGGGAUUGGCAACAAUGACAAGCUUGGACGUGUGAUCCAAAUCUGUUAGGAUGUUGACUUUGGGGCUAUCACCAAAGUCCUUAAUCCUCGAUACAGACUUUAUUUCGAAGAUGUGCCUCUCGUGUACAAGAGAUCUGUGGGGAUAAAGCUUUGUCUGUUUGAGGAUGUGUAUAACAUAUUCCAUCAUCGAUCCUCCCCGAUGAUGUUGAUCCUUCCUGGUUUGUAUCGUCAGGACAUAUCAAUGUUCUGUUGGAUUUACUGCCAACAUUAUGUGUUGUCAGGGCUGCCCGACCUUCACUAACAUGUACAUCACCGGAUAAAACCCCUGUUGGGCAGACUGUCAAGGCUGCUUGAACUUCGCUGACGUGUGAAUCAACGGAUAAACACGCGUUGUAACCCCAGUCGGGGACCGGCUUGAUCCUCGCUGAC